UACAGAGGGUGCGAGCGUUGUUCGGAAUUAUUGGGCGUAAAGCGCUUGUAGGCGGCUUGUUAAGUCCUGUGUGAAAGCCCUAGGCUUAACCUAGGAAGUGCGUAGGAAACUGGCGAGCUUGAGUGCUGGAGAGGGUUGUGGAAUUUCCGGUGUAGAGGUGAAAUGCGUAGAUAUCGGAAGGAACAUCAGUGGCGAGAGCGGCUUCCUGGACCAGAACUGACGAUCAGGCUCGAAAGCGUGGGGAGCAAACAGG
RNAcentral lists this ribosomal RNA (253 nucleotides) under uncultured bacterium. Its description in RNAcentral is "partial 16S ribosomal RNA". It matches the Rfam family "Bacterial small subunit ribosomal RNA", at positions 524 to 776 of the family's 1533-position model. The record is from RNAcentral.